GAAACCCCUACUACUAAUAUGCACAAAACUCAAAACCAUGUUCUAAAUACAAUGCAGGACACCAACAGAAGGCACCAAAGACUAACCUAUACACCCAAAUGCUGGGACUAACACUAUAAAAGAAUCAUAUGUUGAUUCUAAAUUUUUUGUUUACACUGUUUUAUUCCUAUGAUAUGGCUGCCAGAAACCCAUUCCAGCAUCCAUCCAAUGCAAUACUUACCAGGAGCUCAUCCUCAGCUCUGGUAGUAUAUGAGGUUUUUAAUACACUAGGGUAAAGGAAGAANGCAUCUUCCACAUUUCUUCUCCGCCAUUUGGAGCGACACAGACCUCUGACUUCUCUGGUGAGAACGACUAUGUAUGACCUCUAGAAUGCAAGAUAAAUAGUUUGCAAGGCUAGAUUCGAAGCCCGCCACUCAAGUAGCAGUUCCGCUGCUCUUAGUCCUGCUGCAGUCUUAAGGAUACCUUUAUCAACACCUCACCCAGCUGUUUGGUCAGAACUGCUGCCCUGCAUAUACUGAGNGGAACUAUAAACUGUGGUUGUGCUGGAACAUGUGCACCCAUACCUGUAGGAUAUGGUGCUUGAAUAGAGGGCAUAGGUGAAGUUGUUAUUGCAUUAACACUAGGUCCACCAAACUGCACAAUAUGAUGACCUGGCAUGGCAUACCCCUGCACUGCUGUAUAACCAUGACCUCCAGGAAGGGCUUGCCCCAACUGUCCAUAAGGAUAAAUUGCUGUGUUAACUGUUCCAGGUACACCGUAUACCUGAAGGUACUGCUGACCUGCAUAAGGGUUGUAGACGCCCUGCGGGUAGACAUAUUCAGGUCCAUACGUUGCAUAUCCAUAUGGAUGAUACAUCAAUCCUUGUUGGUAGUUGUAAGGAAGUGGCUGCUGGUACCCAAAAUUUCCAACAUAUGUCCCCCUGGGGGUUUGCACACUUGCAAUAAAUGGGGUAGCUGGUCUCAAACGUCCAUAAGGCAGUGGUGGUCGAGGUCGCCCAAGUGAAGCCAAAUUACAAUUUGCCCGUCUACCAUCAAUCAUUGGAGUAGGAUCAGCACAGGCUCUCUUAGCAGCCUCUGGUUCCCGGAAAGUCACAAAACCAUAGCCUUUUGAUCGGCCGGUAUUCUUAUCGGUGAUGACAACGGCUUCAAGAAUUUCUCCAAACUGCUCGAAAUAACGACGCAUGGUCUCGCUCUGAGUCUCCCAAGCAAGCCCCCCAACGAAAACCUUGGUGUAAGUGGUAUCUCCAAAAGGAGAAUUCAAAUAUUGAAACCCUGAACUCGAACUCGAUCCCGAGCUAGGACCCGGAAUCGGUUGAUAAGCCAUGAAUUGAAAUGAAAGCGAAAUCGAAAAUUCCUAAAGAAGAAAAGAAAAGAAAAGGCAAGAGAACCUAGUUCAAAUCCGAAAUUGGAAUUGAGGUAAAAAAAGAAGGAAGAUUCCAGUAUAAAAAGAAGGCAGUGAUCAAAUUGGAGGAGGAUUAAGUGAUACUAAAGUCGACCCAAUAGACAAUAAGCCGCAUCUUAAAAGAAAAACCCUAGAAAAACCCUAGAAUUGGAAGAAAUA
RNAcentral lists this unclassified non-coding RNA (1560 nucleotides) under Hevea brasiliensis (rubber tree). The record is from RNAcentral. Lineage: Eukaryota; Viridiplantae; Streptophyta; Magnoliopsida; Malpighiales; Euphorbiaceae.